This 240-nucleotide unclassified non-coding RNA is filed under the name soil metagenome. Its description in RNAcentral is "partial contains 5.8S ribosomal RNA, internal transcribed spacer 2, and large subunit ribosomal RNA". The record is from RNAcentral.
AACAUCGCGCACCUGCGGGAACCUGCGGAGGGAUCAUUACAGAGUUGCAAAACUCCCUAAACCAUUGUGAACGUUACCUAAACCGUUGCUUCGGCGGGCGGCCCGGGUCCUUCCCGGCGCCCAUCGGCCCUCGCGGGCGCCCGCCGGAGGUAAACCAAACUAUUGCAUUGUAUGGCCUCUCUGAGUCUUCUGUACUGAAUAAGUCAAAACUUUCAACAACGGAUCUCAGAUCGGAAGAGC